GGAAAGCGAGGGAUUAAAGCGAAAAGAGUUCAGCUCCCUCGUUCCCUUCCCCUCCCUCGGGGGAUCGAGUUCCGCCGCACUCCGUCCGGCUCCGGUCCCGUCCCUUCCCUCGGGGGAUCUAGACGCCGCCGCUCCGUCCGGCCCUCCACCUAGCUCCCUCGUUCCCCUCCCCUUCCUCCGCCGCACUCCGUCCGGCUCCGGGCCCCUCCCUCGGGGGAUCUAGACACCGCCGCUCCGUCCGGCCCUCCACCCCAUGUCCACCGACGACCUCCCGCCAUCCUCCGACAUCGACGUCAUCAUCCUCCGUCGACAUCCCGCCGCCGCUCCGUCCGGAUCCGGGGCCUGCGGUCGGUUCCCACCUUCGCCCUCCACCCUAUGUCCAUCGACGACCUCCCCCCAUCCUCCGACAUCGACGCCAUCAUCCUCCGUCGACAUCCCGCCGCCGAGGCCGUUAGCGGCAGGAGGUGGGUGGGAGAAGGAGCGGCUGCAGGAGGAGCUCGGGCGGGCAGGUGGGUGCUGCCGCUGUCAAGGGCCAUCGUCACCGCGCAACAGCAAGUACAGGUAAUUGAAUCAAUCUACGCUGUUGCAAAUCCGAGUUGUUUUGGUUCUUCC
This 612-nucleotide long non-coding RNA is filed under the name Setaria viridis. RNAcentral describes it as "long non-coding RNA (SVIR_LNC000237)". Lineage: Eukaryota; Viridiplantae; Streptophyta; Magnoliopsida; Poales; Poaceae. The record is from RNAcentral.